CCUACGGGGGACAGCAGUGAGGAAUAUUGGUCAAUGGGCGCGAGCCUGAACCAGCGAAGUCGCGUGAGGGAUGACGGUCCUACGGAUUGUAAACCUCUUUUGCCGGGGAGCAAGCGUGCGUUCGUGAACGCGCGUCGAGAGUACCCGGAGAAAAAGCAUCGGCUAACUCCGUGCCAGCAGCCGCGGUAAUACGGAGGAGGCGAGGGUUAUCCGGAUUUAUUGGGUUUAAAGGGUGCGUAGGCGGGAUGCCAAGUCAGCGGUAAAAAUGCGGUGUUAAAGGCCGUAGAGCCGUUGAAACUGGCAUUCUGGAGUGGGCGAGAGGUAGGCGGAAUGCGUGGUGUAGCGGUGAAAUGCGUAGAUAUCACGAGGAACUUCGAUUGCGAAGGCGACAUACCGGCACCCUACUGACGCUGAGGCACGAAAGCGUGGGUAGCGAACAGGAUUAGAUACCCGUGUAGUC
RNAcentral lists this ribosomal RNA (460 nucleotides) under uncultured bacterium. RNAcentral's name for it is "partial 16S ribosomal RNA". It matches the Rfam family "Bacterial small subunit ribosomal RNA", at positions 338 to 795 of the family's 1533-position model. The record is from RNAcentral.